This 281-nucleotide long non-coding RNA is filed under the name Panax ginseng (ginseng). Its description in RNAcentral is "long non-coding RNA (PGIN_LNC017198)". The record is from RNAcentral. Lineage: Eukaryota; Viridiplantae; Streptophyta; Magnoliopsida; Apiales; Araliaceae.
CUUCCAAUAGCCGAGCAGGAGAGAUAUAUAUAGUAGAGCUUCCAACGGCUAUGAGAGGGCUGAUUCCAUGAAAUCCUCAGUCACAAGAAAUCAGCACCAAAUCGAUAGAUAUAUUGUUUCCUUGAUAAGCUCAACCUAAAAGAUAUGAUAUCAAUCAUCUGAUCUGAAGGGAUACGAAAGAUAUGGUUUGUUAACAAUAUACUAUAUUUAGAGCAUAUACCUUUUGAAGCUUCUAGUUCAAAUUUGAAUCAACUAAUCAGUUGACCAAAUUUCAUUCCCUG